RNAcentral lists this ribosomal RNA (460 nucleotides) under uncultured bacterium. RNAcentral describes it as "partial 16S ribosomal RNA". It matches the Rfam family "Bacterial small subunit ribosomal RNA", at positions 338 to 795 of the family's 1533-position model. The record is from RNAcentral.
CCUACGGGUGGCAGCAGUGAGGAAUAUUGGUCAAUGGGCGAGAGCCUGAACCAGCCAAGUAGCGUGAAGGAUGACUGCCCUACGGGUUGUAACCUUCUUUUAUAUGGGAAUAAAGUGAGUCACGUGUGCCUUUUUGUAUGUACUUUAUGAAUAAGGAUAGGCGAACUCCGUGCCAGCAGCCGCGGUAAUACGGAGGAUCCGAGCGUUAUCCGGAUUUAUUGGGUUUAAAGGGAGCGUAGAUGGUUUGUUAAGUCAGUUGUGAAAGUUUGCGGCUCAACCGUAAAAUUGCAAUUGAUACUGGCAGUCUUGAGUACAGUUGAGGUAGGCGGAAUUCGUGGUGUAGCGGUGAAAUGCUUAGAUAUCACGAAGAACUCCGAUUGCGAAGGCAGCUUACUAGACUGCCACUGACAUUGAGGCUCGAAAGUGUGGGUAUCAAACAGGAUUAGAUACCCUAGUAGUC